CCCUUAGAUGUCCUGGGCCGCACGCGCGUUACACUGAUGCAUUCAACGAGCUUAUAACCUUGGCCGAGAGGCCUGGGCAAUCUUGUUAACGUGCAUCGUGAUAGGGAUAGAUUAUUGAAAUUAUUAAUCUUGAACGAGGAAUUCCUAGUAAACGCAGAUCAUCAGUCUGCAUUGAUUACGUCCCUGCCCUUUGUACACACCGCCCGUCGCACCUACCGAUUGGAUGGUCCGGUGAAGCCUCGGGAUUGUGGUUCCUGCCGCUUUAUUGUGGCGUGACCGCGAGAACUUGUCUAAACCUUAUCAUCUAGAGGAAGGUGAAGUCGUAACA
Molecule: ribosomal RNA, 328 nt
Filed under: uncultured eukaryote
Lineage: Eukaryota
Description: partial 18S ribosomal RNA
Rfam family: Eukaryotic small subunit ribosomal RNA
Source: RNAcentral